Molecule: long non-coding RNA, 378 nt
Filed under: Phascolarctos cinereus (koala)
Lineage: Eukaryota; Metazoa; Chordata; Mammalia; Diprotodontia; Phascolarctidae
Description: lncRNA (ENSPCIG00000023214.2)
Source: RNAcentral
AUGGUUGCCUACCUCCAGCCCACGUCCUCUGCCCCGCUUCCGGCCGCCGCGCCCUGCCUCCGAGAGCCCUUCUUCCUUCCCUUUCCUCUCGUUUCCAGUCCUCCUCGGGGCGUUCCCAUGGCUGCUGCCGUAGGCACUUGGGCUUUCUCGAUGCCGGCUGUGCGGAAGGUGGGCUCGCUGCUCAAGAACGGGGCUGGGGCUACGGACUCUCUGCAGGAGGCGACGGCAGAAAUCGAGAAUGGUGAGAAAACUGGUCAAUACAUAGUUGAACAAGGAGGCUACCCAAAUAAAGAUGGGCUCGUUCAAUGUGGUGCAGCUGUCAUGGAAGGUCUCCCCAGUCGAUUUGGAGCAAUGGCGGCCUUACAUGGGCAUUUGUGA